ACGCUCGACACCUACGGGAGGCNGCAGUCGGGAAUAUUGCGCAAUGGAGGAAACUCUGACGCAGUGACGCCGCGUAUAGGAAGAAGGUUUUCGGAUUGUAAACUAUUGUCGUUAGGGAAGAGAAAGGACAGUACCUAAGGAGGAAGCUCCGGCUAACUACGUGCCAACAGCCGCGGUAAUCUGAGCGGGCUGGCAAGGC
This 199-nucleotide ribosomal RNA is filed under the name uncultured bacterium. Its description in RNAcentral is "partial 16S ribosomal RNA". It matches the Rfam family "Bacterial small subunit ribosomal RNA", at positions 328 to 539 of the family's 1533-position model. The record is from RNAcentral.